This is a regulatory RNA element of Astyanax mexicanus (Mexican tetra), 54 nucleotides long. It matches the Rfam family "UnaL2 LINE 3' element". From Rfam's summary of the family: The eel long interspersed element (LINE) UnaL2 and its partner short interspersed element (SINE) share a conserved 3' tail containing a stem-loop that is critical for their retrotransposition. Presumably, the first step of retrotransposition is the recognition of their 3' tails by UnaL2-encoded reverse transcriptase. NCBI's taxonomy places the organism in Eukaryota, Metazoa, Chordata, Actinopteri, Characiformes, Acestrorhamphidae. The record is from Rfam.
GCAAACCACUUCUGCAAGUCACUCUGGAUAAGAGCAUCUGCUAAAUGCCAUAAA